Amphibalanus amphitrite is the source of this 416-nucleotide long non-coding RNA. RefSeq lists it as uncharacterized. The record is from RefSeq and is a predicted model, not a curated record. NCBI's taxonomy places the organism in Eukaryota, Metazoa, Arthropoda, Thecostraca, Balanomorpha, Balanidae. The transcript has 3 exons.
GACCAUGGAAGGCCCGAUACGAGAGGCAUGGCUAAACUUCAGUCAGAUCACUCCACUGGAGGCGAAGGGUCGCCGUCUCCUCUUUUGCUGUGCCCAUUUCCUCAAGAGUGACUACAUAGAAUUGGUGAUCGACCCUGGCGGGGCCUAAAGCCAUCAGCAGUGCCUUCACAGAACGCUCCUCGGGGACAGCUGCUGACAGAACCAGGACCAUCUAUGGCACAGCAGGACGUUCCGGUACAUUCGUCUUCGUCAACCGAUACGCUGCGGCAGCCGUCGCCGUCGACGGGGCCCCAAACCACAGAACCCAUGGAACUUCAACCUACGGAUUCAGCUUCAACUGCAGGAGCAGAUUCCCCUGCUGAGAUUUCCAUCGAACAAGAGGUCACACGUACAAGACCACUCCCUCCAACGGAACG